CAGAAAUACAACGAUUUGCACGUUCAAGAAGUGCAUCAAAUGACUUUUUUAUGUUGCUGAUUGGAAUGAUGUUGAGAUUGCUCUCCGUUGACCGUUGAAUGUCUUCAAUUGAUGCAAAACGGUUUCCUUUUAUCACCAAAUGCAGAUUAGAGAAUAGAAAAUAGUCACAGGAUGCUAAAUCGGGUGAACACGGGGAAUGUUGAAGCAAUAAAAUUUGAUUUUUGGUCAAAAAGUCAGUGACAAUUGACAAACGAUGAGAAGGUGCAACAAUCACCAACUUCGACCGAGGUUAUUAAGGAAGCUUGACACUUCUUAACUCAAUCUCCCUCUAACAGAAGGUGCCACUAAUUUUGUCGAAAUAGAACCAUUCCGGUUAUUUUUGGGAUACAGGAUGUAUAUACACAUAUACAUAUAUAUCUUUUAAAGCUGAAUGAGUCAACGAGAAAUGGGGGAGAAGAUAAAUGUGAUGUAAUGGCGGCGGCUGUUGGAGAAAGGGAGAUGCAAUGAAGAGUGAUGGAUGAAUUAAGGACGGACAUCGAUACCUUACGUUCAGCGAACAUCCGCCGGCAGACAGAAAAUUUGCAAGAAACACAUGAACAAGAUGUGUUUCAUAAUCAUCAGAAUAACAAAGAGAAAGUUAUUGAAAAAAUUCAGUACAUACAAGUUGAAGAAUUAUUAACAGACAAUUUAUCUGAUUUAAAUUGUAAUAUGGAAAUAUGUUUUCAACAUGAAAGUGAAAAGAUAAAAUACUAACAUUUGCUGAAGUAGCUGAAGUACCCAAACAAAAGCAAAAAUAUAUUGUACAGAAUCUAAUAGAUACCAUCUAGUAGAUACCAAGAAUUACACAAUAAGAUAUUUGACACAAUAUUGGAGCAAAAGAAAACGGUAAAUGAUAACGUUGGACGACAGAAUGAUUAUGAAAAGAAAAAUAGAGCGUCGACGUCAAGAUGUAUAGAUCAAGCGUUAAAAAAUAAUAAUUCUGGUGACAAUACAUACGGUUUAGAAUACAUUUUGAAAGAUGCAAUUAAAGGAAAUAUCAUAUUAUCUACAUAUGCAUUUCAAGAAAAAUUAGACGAAAAGAUUAGAAAUAUAUUGGCAGAUAUUAUUGUGCAUUAUGAAUUAAAAGAUAACUUGGAUGCUUGAAUUACUUCUGAACGUGUUCUGAACGAGUUUUAUUGCAGACAAAAUAAUUGAACUAUUUCCUAAAGAAGAUAAAGAGGGACUGUAAGGAGGUGUUCAAGAGGUGUCCAGUACAUUUCUUCGAGUUUUUCCGGACAUUUCUCUGCCUCAGUGAGGAGAUGUGGGACCUACCUCGCUGACACCUUAUGGUAUCCAAGAUAUUCUGAGAGAAUUGUGUGAACAUUCUCAAUACUUAUGCCCACCUCCGAUGGGAUUUCGACAACAGUUAAGCGCCGGUCAUCUUCCACAAGUUCGCGAACGGCCCGAAUGUUCUCAUUAGUGACAUUUGUCCUCUUUCAAGCUAACAUUGCAACCAAGGUUGUUAUAAUAGGCUCAUUAGAAAUAUAUAUAAAGCGCAGUUUUGUCAUUGUCGACAAUCAGCAUUAUAAAGUUGAAAUUCCUAUAAAAGCUAUUGACAUAGCGCUCAAAUGUAUUCAUAGUCUACAGGUUGAAUAUCCUAAAGAAUGUGAACAACGAAACUUUUUUCUACAAACAUGUAUUUAUGGUAUUCAUACAAAGUACGAUAAAAAAUUUAGUGCAGCACUUUGAUCAAAGAAUAUGAACAUUUUUUCUUUCUGCGAGUAUUAUUUUUCAGUUCUUCCUUUCUCCAGGUUUAAGUUAUAAAAUAGUGUUUAUAAUCUUUAUGAAGCAUCGU
This is a long non-coding RNA of Harpegnathos saltator (Jerdon's jumping ant), 1834 nucleotides long. RefSeq lists it as uncharacterized. The transcript is spliced from 7 exons. NCBI's taxonomy places the organism in Eukaryota, Metazoa, Arthropoda, Insecta, Hymenoptera, Formicidae. The record is from RefSeq and is a predicted model, not a curated record.